This 131-nucleotide small nucleolar RNA is filed under the name Spermophilus dauricus (Daurian ground squirrel). RNAcentral's name for it is "Small nucleolar RNA U109 (ENSSDAG00000010692.1)". It matches the Rfam family "Small nucleolar RNA U109". Lineage: Eukaryota; Metazoa; Chordata; Mammalia; Rodentia; Sciuridae. The record is from Rfam by way of RNAcentral.
UUGCAUGUGGAAAUGCCUCUCCUCUUUGUGGAGCAGGAGUACAUCUAUUACAUGCUACAUUAAAAAAAGGAGUUCUCAGGGCUGCCAACCUUAAAGUACAGGUUGAGUGGUAGUAUAUUUCUCCUACAUGA